Molecule: long non-coding RNA, 455 nt
Filed under: Rattus norvegicus (Norway rat)
Lineage: Eukaryota; Metazoa; Chordata; Mammalia; Rodentia; Muridae
Description: long non-coding RNA NONRATT015763
Source: RNAcentral
CUAUUGAUGCCAGACAAUGCCAUCCUCCGCUACACGUUCAGCUGGAGCCUUAGUCCCUGGGAGCUCUGGGGGUGCAGGGAAUGGGGGGGAUGGUGAUAUUGUUGUUCUUCCAAUGAGGUUGCAAACCCCUUCAGCUCCUUCAGUCCUUUCUCUAAUUCCUCCAUUGGGGUCCCCAUGCUCAGUCCAAUGGUUAGCUGAAGUCUUAGCCAAGCUUUUAGCACUAUAGAUCUCAAUAGUCAGUCCUCCUGGAUCGAAGGGAAAUGGAGCGUGUUCCAUAAUCAAGCCUGGGAUGCAAGUCAGCUGGAUGGGGCAGUGUGUGCUGUGGUUGCUUUCCUUAGAGAAAGCAAUUGUUCAGUUUGAUAAUCUAAACAUGGCUCAGAAAAUUAAAGCUAUCCAAACAUCCUGAGAACCACAGGGUAGGGCUUUCAGGAAACAAAUAAAUAAAACAAAGCAAA